Molecule: unclassified non-coding RNA, 148 nt
Filed under: soil metagenome
Description: partial internal transcribed spacer 1
Source: RNAcentral
UAAUAAGUGUUUUAUGGCACUUUUUAAAUCCAUAUCCACCUUGUGUGCAAUGUCAGUCGAUUCUUUCUUCAUGAGAGAUCGACCAAACAUCAACUUAUUCUAUUAACUCUUUGUCUGAAAACUAUUAUGAAUAAACUAAUUCAAAAUA